CCCCUAGUGGUUCAGAUGGUAAAGUGUCUGCCUGCAAUGCAGGAGACCCAGGUUCGAUCCCUGGGUUGGGAA
Molecule: transfer RNA, 72 nt
Filed under: Bos taurus (domestic cattle)
Lineage: Eukaryota; Metazoa; Chordata; Mammalia; Artiodactyla; Bovidae
Also listed under: 1 other name
Rfam family: tRNA
About the family: Transfer RNA (tRNA) molecules are approximately 80 nucleotides in length. Their secondary structure includes four short double-helical elements and three loops (D, anti-codon, and T loops).
Source: Rfam by way of RNAcentral